CAGAGAAGUGGCUGGCCUGCUCUGCAGUUGGACGUUGAUCUGACCAAGGGUAACUCCCAGCUGGUGCCAGUGGGAGAAACAGUUUGAUCCUUCCUCCGUGCUCGGCUCCUUCACUUUUGGCUUGCGUGCAGCAGGAAGGCAGUUAGAAAUAGCUGUUCUUACAUGCUUAGGCUGUUUGAUUUUGGAACUUGGCGCUGGUUUUACUGGAGAUAGAAGAGCACCCACAAGCAGAGAAUGAAACAUCCUAUCCCCAGUCAGAGCUGUAACAGAAGGAAGGAGUGAAAGGGAUCAGUACGAGUGCUUACAGCUGAAGCCCUCUCAACGAAUUCCGUUCACAUUGAUGCAGACUCUGAAAACUCCAGUCCAACACACGCCACAGUCACAAAGGCAGGUGCAGUCCUCUUCAAAACCUGGAAUGGGAUGGCUUCAGUUCUCAGAGAGAAGCAAAGUUCAUCAGAGCUACGGAAGCACGGGCAAGGGAAGCAGCCCAGAGGGAACACUGCCGAUCCAUCCGUGCCAUUAGCGAGGCACUGGCCUGAUCCUGUGCAUCUGCACCAACUACUG
Molecule: long non-coding RNA, 564 nt
Filed under: Gallus gallus (chicken)
Lineage: Eukaryota; Metazoa; Chordata; Aves; Galliformes; Phasianidae
Description: long non-coding RNA NONGGAT003288
Source: RNAcentral